Long non-coding RNA from Asterias rubens (European starfish), 1288 nucleotides. RefSeq lists it as uncharacterized. The record is from RefSeq and is a predicted model, not a curated record. Lineage: Eukaryota; Metazoa; Echinodermata; Asteroidea; Forcipulatida; Asteriidae. The transcript is spliced from 4 exons.
UAAAAAAGUCAACACACAACUAAACUGCGUAAAAGUUCAUCAGCUGCGGUGCUGCAAUAAAGUUGAAUCUUGCUGCGCUAGAAGAUCUUUGUUGCAUUUUAAUUUGAUACAAAUUUGAUUGGGUUAUCUACUGUCAGGAUGUGUUUCAAAGUCACCUGUGAAAAGUGCCAAAAGACAACGUGGAAAGGGUGUGGCAAACAUGUAGAGCAGGUGAUGAAGGAUGUUCCAGAUGAGCAGAAAUGUCAGUGUCCUCGACCUUGAGUCAGAUACAUGAAGAACAUGUUAGCAGUCACAUAAUAUGGAAGAAAAAUACAAAUGCAGACAUCUGUCAUGAUGUGACUCUCCUUGCAAACCUGAGUGAAUGCAAGUCAAGUUCAACAUUGGUUUCUAAUUACAAUGGAUUUGUUCAAUUAAUGUUUGAAAUAAUAGAUAAUGUACAUUAUAAGAAACAACAAAUUAAUCGUUGAAAUUUGAAAAGAAAGAAUGAGAAGGGAAUGUUGUAAAAGCAACAGAAAUAGUCAAGUUUAGGUUUUGGGGUUUGUUUUAGAAAUAGAUAAUUUACUCAUAAACAAGUUUAGGUUUUGGGGUUUGUUUUAGAAUUAGAUAAUUUACUCAUAAACAAUUAAAACGUUUAUGAUUGAAUGCUAUUUAAAGGUUUUACAAUAAAGAAGUAUCGUAGGAAGUAUAAAGCUGAAAUACAACAUUGUACUAUUUUUUCAAAUGUCCUUUUACAAAAAAGGGUGAAGUUAUUAGAUGUGUCAAAAAAGCACAGAACAAACUAAGCCAAAAACACACCCAAAACCACAACCAUAAAAAUAACCCAAAGAGUUUUAUAAAGAGUUUAAAUAUUACAUCAACAUUUAAUGCUAAUAGAACAGUACUAGAAUUGGCCAGUAGAAAAAUACUGGUAAGGUUAAAGAAAUGUACUCAAAGUUGAAAUGUACCGCACAAUGUGUUUGUGAAUUUGUAAAGUUGAUCGCACAAACAAACCUAGAUUGUCCUACCUCAUUUUGUAACUGUAGAGUUUAUAACAAACAUAAUGUUCACUUAUAUUUCAAGUUUAUAGUACACACCCAACAAAUAGUGAUAGUGUAAUGCCAAAGAUGUUGAGCCAAAGAAAUAUAUUUUUAGGUUUGGUUGUGAGGUUUCCUGGAUUUUUUACCCUCAAGUUUUGGUUUGUGUUUGUGUCAAAGUUCAACCGUCCAAAAAAACCCCCAUAAUUUGACCGUCCAUGAAAACAAUUCCCUAUCGGCCUCAAUUUUGAAUAAAUCUAGAUGCUAAGCUUGUA